UACGUAGGGUGCAAGCGUUAAUCGGAAUUACUGGGCGUAAAGCGUGCGCAGGCGGUUUUGUAAGUCUGUCGUGAAAGCCCCGGGCUCAACCUGGGAAUUGCGAUGGAGACUGCAAGGCUUGAAUCUGGCAGAGGGGGGUAGAAUUCCACGUGUAGCAGUGAAAUGCGUAGAGAUGUGGAGGAACACCGAUGGCGAAGGCAGCCCCCUGGGUCAAGAUUGACGCUGAGGAGCGAAAGCGUGGGGAGCGAACAGG
RNAcentral lists this ribosomal RNA (253 nucleotides) under uncultured bacterium. RNAcentral describes it as "partial 16S ribosomal RNA". It matches the Rfam family "Bacterial small subunit ribosomal RNA", at positions 524 to 776 of the family's 1533-position model. The record is from RNAcentral.